AUAAAACCCAGCUCUAUGAACUGGUGGCCAUGAUGAUUUAAAUUUUCAUUGUGAGAUCAUCACCCCAACAUUCUAUGGGUGUCCUGGAAACCUUCAUGUACAUAGUGUCUUUGAGCUAUCCUAGUGAAGGUUGAUCAUUCUCUCUUCUCAAGGUGUGACCUGGGAUUGUACUGGCUGUACUGCAAGCACUUCAUGAAGAUGCCAUGUGCCAGCAUCCCUGUCCCCCGUCCUGGUGUUGCAUCUGCUACAGUGGCUGGGCAAGCAAGUGCUAUGACAAAGCUCUCCAUUUUCUCACACCAGUUCUGGACAGGCAUGAGGUGGCAAUGGCUCGGAUCAGGACACAAAUGGAGGGUGGUGGAGCUGACAGUAGAAAAAUCUACAUUCCUGCUGUCACGCCUGAGCAGAUACAUCCCGCGAUUAGCCCAUCUCCUACCCCACACUAUUUUCCUGGACAAGCACCCAACCCUGAACAGCAGCAGCACAUCAGCCCUCUCCAAGCAGAAUAAAACUACCAGGAUGCACCUGUGCAGCAGUUGGAUGGCCACAUCUGUAUCCACAGCAGCCAGAAUGUCAUGGAAGAAACCCGGCUUAUUUUCCAAGGGAGAAGCAGGGACACUCAAGGCAUCAGGACCCCAGUUCUCUAGCCAGAAACUAUAG
Molecule: long non-coding RNA, 657 nt
Filed under: Oryctolagus cuniculus (rabbit)
Lineage: Eukaryota; Metazoa; Chordata; Mammalia; Lagomorpha; Leporidae
Description: lncRNA (ENSOCUG00000032895.1)
Source: RNAcentral